CUUCAAACUCCGAGUCGGUAGGUGGCGGUGAAGCGCCGUUCGCUGUUUUCACACUGCCGUAAAAUACCCUAAUGAGCUGCAAAGAGGCGCAACGAAGAAGAGUGACGGUUUGCACAUACCGGGCUGCUUAUGGGACUGUUGUCCAUCCAGCAGCCCUGUGCUCCUCCUGCUUUGGCUAUCACUGCUCCCUGACUGCAAGAGCCUCCCAUCAGAGUGACUGCAAACUCAAGCUCAAGACCUUCCUCGAAAUUUUGUCUGCAACAAAUGCACAAUCCACAGUUUAUUUUAAAUUAGAUUAGAUUAGAUCAAAGAGUCUUUAUUGUCCCUGAGGGGCAUUUUGGUUUGCAAUGUAGUCAACACAACCAGUGCACAUCAUCCUGAAAAGAAAUAGUUUGUACACUACAAAGUGACAUAACAUAUAGCAUACAGAAGGACAUUAUAAAAAUAUACAGUGAGAAAUAAAAAUGAGAUGAUAAUAAUGAAGCUGUAAGAGUGCAUCAGUCCUUUGUUUAGUGCAAUGGCAAGAAAACCUAUGGCUUGUUAUGGAACCCAACAGCGGAUGGAACAGAGUAUCUCAAAUAUCAUUUGUUCUAUGAGCUAUGAUGAGAUUUACAAAGCUCCCGGAAAGAGUGGCUGAUCAUACAUACGAUAAACUUUAUUUUAAUUUAGUGAGUUACACAAGGUACAAGACACAUGAUUGUAAAUGGAAGUUGUAGUGCCUUUAUACUACUCAUGGAAUAAAAGUAAAAAAUUUUGAGGCAACUACAUAUAUUGUUAACCGUGUUGUAGAGUGAGGUAUUACUGGAAGGUGCAUUCAUUUAAGUAAGAAAAUUAAGCUUGGAAAUUGCACACAAAAAAGACUGCCUAUGAAAAGUGUUCACCUUUAAAAUUUUGGCAUAUUUGUGUUCACCGUGUUAUAGUGUUAUUAAAGCAACCUUCUUUCUUUC
Acanthopagrus latus (yellowfin seabream) is the source of this 947-nucleotide long non-coding RNA. RefSeq lists it as uncharacterized. The transcript is spliced from 2 exons. Lineage: Eukaryota; Metazoa; Chordata; Actinopteri; Spariformes; Sparidae. The record is from RefSeq and is a predicted model, not a curated record.